GCCCAGUGAUGAGACCAAGGCGAAUAUGAGCUUACUGAAUGAGAGUUGGGUUCUUCUUCGCCUUGACUGGCAGGUAAUCUUGGUAGUGCAGAGGAGGAUUCCUGCUUUGCUGUAAGGGCCUGCCUACAGUGACUUAGCUCGCCCCAAAUUAUUCCUUUAAAGUUACAUUGGAGUAACCACGGGGAUGAAGCUGACAGUGGGGGUGUGUGUGUGUGUGUACACGUUUGUGUACAUGUGUGAAAGGCAAGAAGUUCACCCAUCUCUCUUUGCUGUUCAGUCAGCCAUGAGUUGCUUCUUUGGUAAUCUGAGGGCA
Xiphias gladius (swordfish) is the source of this 313-nucleotide small nucleolar RNA. NCBI's taxonomy places the organism in Eukaryota, Metazoa, Chordata, Actinopteri, Istiophoriformes, Xiphiidae. The record is from RefSeq and is a predicted model, not a curated record.